Non-coding RNA from Lates calcarifer (barramundi perch), 793 nucleotides. The record is from the annotation of a RefSeq genome assembly. NCBI's taxonomy places the organism in Eukaryota, Metazoa, Chordata, Actinopteri, Centropomidae.
CCUCUCUAUGGAAAUGACUUCUCUGCUCUCAACACACUGAAGGCAACGUGGGACACUGAGUCAGGAGAAAUACUGCUUGGAUUUACACUAAAUAUCAUCUUAAUGGAAUAGGAAAAAUAAAUCAGAAGGAAAUUUGCGGAUUUUCAGGAUCUGGAUUAAAAUGGUGUCACUUCUGUUGAUACAAUAUGUGUAUUUCUUUCCCUUGUUUUUAACUGUAGGCUGGCUCCAUGGUCAGGCCCUCAGUCUCUCUGCUUCCCCCCUCCUCUGAGCAGCUCUCUGGGGGCUCGGCCACGCUGGCCUGCCUGCUGACUGGCUACUCUCCUCAGGGAGCCGUGGUGAGCUGGGAGGUGGACGGUACAGCGGUGACAGAGGGGGUCCUGGACAGCUCAGAGGAGGAGAAGAGCGGACGCUACAGCAGCAGCAGCACCCUGAGCCUGAGCCGGGAGCGCUGGAUGAAAGGAGAGCUGUACUCCUGCAAGGUCCUCCAUCAUGCCCACAGCCAGAUCCAGUCCCUCCGCAGGAGCCAGUGUGAGGGCUAGAGGGGCUGAGUGAAGCCCAGGACAGGAGCUGUGUGUGGGGGGAGCAGGAGGAACACACCUGCUGCUCUCAUCCAUAUGAGUUUUAAUCUUUGUAGAGGAAAGUAAAGCUUUGUGUGACAGAGAACAACACUGCUGCAAAGUGUUGGACAACAACAACUUAGAGAGCAAUGUGUGGAGCUCAGCAGCUGGAUGUGAGUGUGCUUAAUAACUGUCUGACUGAUGUUUUUGCUAAUAAAGCUUCAACUGAUACAUGA